CCUACGGGUGGCAGCAGUGAGGAAUAUUGGUCAAUGGACGAGAGUCUGAACCAGCCAAGUAGCGUGAAGGAUGACUGCCCUAUGGGUUGUAAACUUCUUUUAUAUGGGAAUAAAAUGUUCCACGUGUGAGAUUUUGUAUGUACCAUAUGAAUAAGUAUCGGCUGACUCCGUGCCAACAGCCGCGGUAAUACGUAGGAUCCGAUCGUUAUCCGGAUUUAGUGGGUUUAAAGGGAGAGUAGGAUGAUUUUGAAGUCAGUUGUGAAAGUUUGCGGCUCAACCGUAAAAUUGCAGUUGAAACUGGCAGUCUUGAGUACAGUAGAGGUGGGCGGAAUUCGUGGUGGAGCGGUGAAAUGCUUAAAUAUCACGAAGAACACCGAUUGCGAAGGCAGCUCACUGGACUGAAACUGACACUGAGGCUCGAAAGUGUGGGUAUCAAACAGGAUUAGAUACCCGUGUAGUC
Molecule: ribosomal RNA, 460 nt
Filed under: uncultured bacterium
Lineage: Bacteria
Description: partial 16S ribosomal RNA
Rfam family: Bacterial small subunit ribosomal RNA
Source: RNAcentral